This is a small nucleolar RNA of Ochotona princeps (American pika), 254 nucleotides long. The record is from Ensembl. Lineage: Eukaryota; Metazoa; Chordata; Mammalia; Lagomorpha; Ochotonidae.
GAGCAGUAAGAGCAGUAAAAGGUCUGAUUGCCCAGGCGCCCCUGCCUCCCGGCUGGCCCCGGCUGCCUCUCAUGGGCUCUAGCUGUGCUCUGUGGGCAGAGGUGCUGCUGACACUGUGGGAUAUGUCCGUCCUGCCUGCCCUGCUGAGCCUUGGUACAGCGCUGUGGGUGACAUCCAACAGCACUGUCACCAAGGGAUCUGAUGGCUGGGAGUGCUGGCAGCUGUGGUGUGAUCUGCCAUUUCAGACUGAGGCC